GACGAACGCUGGCGGCGUGCCUAAUACAUGCAAGUAGAACGCUGAAGAGAGGAGCUUCCUCUUCUUGGAUGAGUUGCGAACGGGUGAGUAACGCGUAGGUAACCUGCCUUGUAGCGGGGGAUAACUAUUGGAAACGAUAGCUAAUACCGCAUAACAAUGGAUGACACAUGUCAUUUAUUUGAAAGGGGCAAUUGCUCCACUACAAGAUGGACCUGCGUUGUAUUAGCUAGUAGGUGAGGUAAUGGCUCACCUAGGCGACGAUACAUAGCCGACCUGAGAGGGGGAUCGGCCACACUGGGACUGGGACACGGCCCAGACUCCUACGGGAGGGAGCAGUAGGGGAUCUUCGGCAAUGGGGGCAACCCUGACCGAGCAACGCCGCGUGAGUGAAGAAGGGUUUCGGAUCGUGAAGCUCUGUUGUAAGUCAAGAACGGGUGUGAGAGUGGAAAGUUCACACUGUGACGGUAGCUUAACAGAAAGGGACGGCUAACUACGUG
RNAcentral lists this ribosomal RNA (497 nucleotides) under uncultured bacterium. RNAcentral describes it as "partial 16S ribosomal RNA". It matches the Rfam family "Bacterial small subunit ribosomal RNA", at positions 28 to 507 of the family's 1533-position model. The record is from RNAcentral.